GGGUGACUGAUUUUACCGGGCCAGCUGACUAAUAUUAUAAUUAACAAAGUUUGCUACAUCUGUAAAGUUUAAUCGAAAAUUUUACCGGUGAUAUGAUGGCAUUGUCACAAAAAUCACAAGAGACCAGGAGCCUCUUCUUAUUCAAGGUGGAGCGGCAAAGCAGUGUGGGCAUGAUGAAAAACUGUGUACUUGUUCAACCAAA
Unclassified non-coding RNA from Dipodomys ordii (Ord's kangaroo rat), 202 nucleotides. The record is from Ensembl. NCBI's taxonomy places the organism in Eukaryota, Metazoa, Chordata, Mammalia, Rodentia, Heteromyidae.